GUUGUCCUCUCUUAGGCAUAGCCCUCUUCGUCUGCCCCAGGCCCAGCAAGCCCAGCAGGUGAUGGGGGCGCCGCCCUGGUUGCGAGGAAGCCGCUGGAGGAAGAGCUCAACUUGGACAUUGUCAACCGGAGGAGGGGAUCGAUUCGAUCUGCAGAAGAGAGAUAGUAGAUGAGAGGGGGAGAGGGAAGGAAGGAGACAGAUUCUAUCUCCAAGAGAGAGAGAAGAUGAGAGGGAAAGACUGAUGGAAGGAGAGGAGGGAGAAAGAGAGAGGAAAGAGGAGAGGGAGGCGCGACAACGGACAUGACAGGGUCAACAGUCGUCGUUGGCCUGCCCCGGCGAGGUAGGGCGCGACCUGAAGGUUGGUGGUGGCUCGAUCCGCUUCUAGAUCAGGACCUACGAGGAGGGUGGGGCUCGGGCGCGAGGUACGGCAGGCUGCGCUCCACCUCUUCCUCGAGGUGCAUGUGCAGUGGGCAGACGGCAGCUCGCGCGGUGGUGCGGGGGCCUCAACGGGUGCGCAAUGGGGACUCCAUGCAUCUCCUACGCUCCGCAACCCUUUCCUUCCCGACACAGCAGAAACAAGGAUGCCGAGGCGGUUCAGAUCUUGAAUGCACGAUUGAUGAUUUUGUUUGACAGGAGGCUCACUGAUGGAGUAUGCCUAAUCUCAAUUUAUUGCAUGGUGUUGGGGGACUUUGGAUGGUGGUCUUGAUAUUCCGCACAGUGACAAGAGAUUUGCUGGCUUCAAGAAGAAUGAGAAGUGGCUGGACACUGAGAUUCACCGCAACUACAUUUAUGAAGAUCAUGUUGCAGACUGCAUGAAGUCAAUAGCUGAUGAAGAACCUGAGGAGUACCAAUUUCACUUUAGUGAGUACAUCAAGAAGGGGAUUGCGGCUGAUGACAUGGAAGCACUAUACAAGAAGGUUCAUGCUACCAUUCGUGUUGAUCCUACCAUGGCAAAAUAAACCAAGGAACCUCCGAAGACGCACAAGAGGUAUAAUCUCAGGAAGCGUUGAGACACAGCUUGCCUUGUAUGUGAUGUUGCAGCUUAAAAUUAAGAUGCUGUCAAUCCAAUAAGAGAAGCCAAGGAGCUAUUGGCGAUCGUGUGAUUUCAGAAUGUAUCCAAGAUUGCAGGGAAGUUAAUUAUACCAUCUCUGGAAGAUGGACUGUGGAAGAUAAACCGAUGGCUGCAAGACCGAGAGAAGCAUUAGGAACUGGUCCGCAGCGUCUUCCAGUUGUUGUCUGCAAGGCCGAAGGGUGUGAGCAAUUUCAUCGAGGCUGAUGCAAUCUUUGGACCAGUAGUGACGCUAGUGCCUGUAUAUCCCAUGACUGGUUCUUUCAGCUCAAUAUCCAUACACUACUUGUUUGUAUUCUGUAUUCCAGUGCAAAUUAUGAUUGUUGCUAAACACUCUUGCAUGUAACUGCACUACUAUCUGCUCUAAAAAAUGUCACUGCACUACCACAAUGCUAGCAUGCAUUCCUUUUCACAUCUAACACUUAUUGAAUUGUUCAUCUUCUUUCUCCUCUGUUUGUCACAAAGAUUCUUCUAUGACAACCUCUUUAAGGAGAUCAACUAAUCUUCUUGUCGCAGUUUUUGUUGAAACAUUGAUUAGGUGCUCCAAGAAUGUAUGUGAGCUUGCAAUUGUAUUUAACGGCAUCAAGGUACAAUGAUUCUCUUUGUUUGUAUUUUAUUCUGGAAUGUCACUGUCAUAAUAAAUAAAGUCCAGAAAAGCAUUGGUGUUUUUAUCUUAGCGUGUACUCCCUCCGUUCCUAAAUAUAAAUCUUUUUAGAGAUUUCAAUAAGAACUACAUACGGAUGUAUAUAGACAAGCAGACGCUUUUUUGUAGCUUAGUUUCAUACUAGCGGGUAGUGCGCGGCGGCACGCCGCGCCACAAGGAGUGAUAAGCUAUUUAGUUUUUAAUAUUUUGUAAGUCGUCUCAAAAUUUUAUUAAUGGCAAAAUAGUUCAUACAAGGCCCUGUUGAUUUGCAUGAGGUUUGUUGUUUUUGUGAAGUUUUUGAGAAUUUGUUGUAUGUUCAACAUGUGUAUAUCUUUGUAGUGGCGAAGAGAAUAAUUGUGCACUACACAGCUUAUGUUGCUCCCAUGGUGAUCACUGAAUUAACACAUGAGUUGGAAGUUAGCAAAACUUUAAGCACACUAACUUGUCAUAGAUGUUUCAGAAAACUAAAUCUGCACAUGAUGCUGAAUGGAAAAAAUUAUUGGAGUUGGUAGAAUUGCACCCGCUGUUAUCAUCCACACGACCUUGCAUAUUCCAGCCAACAUAGAAUAUAUUGUCAAUAUUAUGCAAAAAAACACAACUGAAUGAUUAACUGAGAAUAAAGUACACGUACAACAUAUUCUAUCCGAAUUGUAAAAUACUUCUAUUAGUAUCUAGAGAAUUUCUUGCAUUUAUCCAUCUUGUUAGUACUACGUAUUUUGGACAUUGGUGCUGUCAUGCCAAGACCUCCAUAAAUGUAACAACAUAUUGGUUGACAAAGGUGUAUCUUCAUAACACCAUACUCUGCCAGCCCAUAUCAGUAGUAGCAUUAUAAUCUCAGCCUUGAGAUUCUAUUUCUGAAGAUAUAGAAUGUCACAGCUACACAAAUAAUUUCAGCACCAAUUGUGUUUUACCUUCGGUUCUACUACUAUCUAGAAAAACAAAACAAAAACAAAGAGAAAAAAUAAAUUAGGAGUAGCAAGUCACCAACACCACCUGUCCACCAACCGACCCCCUUGUGCGCACCACCUGUCCACCCCCCUGCUGCGCACUGCCUCCUCUGCUUUCGCUGUUGCGUUGCCUCAUGCCUGGUUGUGCUAAGCUAAACAUCACACCGCGAAAGACCACCACCACCUUCCGCCGGCCGCCGGCCACCUCCGGCCUGCCUACGCGAGCUCCUCCCGACAGCGACAACCCCCUCACAUGGACGCGGGAACACUGCCGUGGAGGAGGAGGAGGAGAUGGAGUUCCUGUACGAUUGUGGCGCCACUGCCGUCGUCGCGGAUGUGGCAGCCGCGCUCGCGAGCACCGGCGGUAUCCAGGCGUCCUCUCCCUCUGUCGUCGCCUCCGAGAGAGGUACCGGAACGGCGAGCUGAAGAGGGCUCUUUCCGAGGCUGAAGCCUACGCCUUCAAGCUUUCUAGAAGAUGGCAUUAGGCAGUGUUCUUUCCGAUGGAGACAACUUCUGAUGCUACCUAGAUUGGCCGAUCUACUUUUUUUAUCAGCGACGCUACUAUCUAUUUCAUGAGGAUGCACUUGGCAGAUCUGUAAGAUCGCAAUGUUCAGCCUGGCUUCUAUCUUUGAUCUGGUAUGUAAUAGUUUUUUCGUUGGUAUAAAACUGCAAGUUAUCCGAAUUGUGCUGCUAAAACAAAGUUCUUGAUAUAAGUUACCUAUAAUCAUCCGGUGCGGCUUAUAUAAUAUUUUGAUAGUAUGACUCAUGGCACAGUGGAUCUAAUACUUCUGUUUGGAAAAGAAGCAAUAGAGAAAAUUAAUUUGCUAGAUUUGAAAAGCACAACCCGGUAUUUAGUGUUUGGUGAAUUGA
This is a long non-coding RNA of Triticum dicoccoides, 3529 nucleotides long. RefSeq lists it as uncharacterized. The record is from RefSeq and is a predicted model, not a curated record. NCBI's taxonomy places the organism in Eukaryota, Viridiplantae, Streptophyta, Magnoliopsida, Poales, Poaceae. The transcript has 11 exons.